GGCGGCGUGCUUAACACAUGCAAGUCGAGCGGAAAGGCCCCUUCGGGGGUACUCGAGCGGCGAACGGGUGAGUAACACGUGAGCAACCUGCCCCUGACUCUGGGAUAAGCCCGGGAAACUGGGUCUAAUACCGGAUAUGACCACUCCAGGCAUCUGGUGGUGGUGGAAAGUUUUUCGGUUGGGGAUGGGCUCGCGGCCUAUCAGCUUGUUGGUGGGGUGAUGGCCUACCAAGGCGACGACGGGUAACCGGCCUGAGAGGGCGACCGGUCACACUGGGACUGAGACACGGCCCAGACUCCUACGGGAGGCAGCAGUGGGGAAUAUUGCGCAAUGGGCGGAAGCCUGACGCAGCGACCCCGCGUGGGGGAUGACGGCCUUCGGGUUGUAAACCUCUUUCAGCAGGGACGAAGCUAACGUGACGGUACCUGCAGAAGAAGCGCCGGCUAACUACGUGCCAGCAGCCGCGGUAAUACGUAGGGCGCAAGCGUUGUCCGGAAUUAUUGGGCGUAAAGAGCUCGUAGGCGGUUUGUUGCGUCCGUCGUGAAAGCCCACGGCUUAACCGUGGGUCUGCGGUGGAUACGGGCAGACUAGAGGCAGGUAGGGGAGAACGGAAUUCCCGGUGUAGCGGUGAAAUGCGCAGAUAUCGGGAGGAACACCGGUGGCGAAGGCGGUUCUCUGGGCCUGUACUGACGCUGAGGAGCGAAAGCGUGGGGAGCGAACAGGAUUAGAUACCCUGGUAGUCCACGCCGUAAACGUUGGGCGCUAGGUGUGGGGUCCUUCCACGGAUUCCGCGCCGCAGCUAACGCAUUAAGCGCCCCGCCUGGGGAGUACGGCCGC
This 837-nucleotide ribosomal RNA is filed under the name Actinomadura sp. IM-1290. RNAcentral's name for it is "bacterial SSU rRNA". It matches the Rfam family "Bacterial small subunit ribosomal RNA", at positions 38 to 889 of the family's 1533-position model. The record is from RNAcentral. Lineage: Bacteria; Bacillati; Actinomycetota; Actinomycetes; Streptosporangiales; Thermomonosporaceae.